GACGAACGCGGGCGGCGUGCCUAAUACAUGCAAGUCGAACGCACGAAGUUGAAGAGCUUGCUCUUUAACCAAGUGAGUGGCGGACGGGUGAGUAACACGUGGGUAACCUGCCCAUGAGAGGGGGAUAACAUUCGGAAACGGAUGCUAAUACCGCAUAGUUUCAGGGAUCGCAUGAUUCUUGAAGGAAAGGUGGCUCCGGCUACCACUAAUGGAUGGACCCGCGGCGUAUUAGCUAGUUGGUGAGGUAAUGGCUCACCAAGGCAAUGAUACGUAGCCGACCUGAGAGGGUGAUCGGCCACACUGGGACUGAGACACGGCCCAGACUCCUACGGGAGGCAGCAGUAGGGAAUCUUCCGCAAUGGACGAAAGUCUGACGGAGCAACGCCGCGUGAGUGAAGAAGGUUUUCGGAUCGUAAAACUCUGUUGUUAAAGAAGAACAAGGAUGAGAGUAACUGCUCAUCCCCUGACGGUAUUUAACCAGAAAGCCACGGCUAACUACGUGCCAGCAGCCGCGGUAAUACGUAGGUGGCAAGCGUUGUCCGGAUUUAUUGGGCGUAAAGCGAGCGCAGGCGGUUCUUUAAGUCUGAUGUGAAAGCCCCCGGCUCAACCGGGGAGGGUCAUUGGAAACUGGAGAACUUGAGUGCAGAAGAGGAGAGUGGAAUUCCACGUGUAGCGGUGAAAUGCGUAGAUAUGUGGAGGAACACCAGUGGCGAAGGCGACUCUCUGGUCUGUAACUGACGCUGAGGCUCGAAAGCGUGGGGAGCAAACAGG
RNAcentral lists this ribosomal RNA (771 nucleotides) under uncultured Vagococcus sp. Its description in RNAcentral is "bacterial SSU rRNA". It matches the Rfam family "Bacterial small subunit ribosomal RNA", at positions 28 to 776 of the family's 1533-position model. The record is from RNAcentral. Lineage: Bacteria; Bacillati; Bacillota; Bacilli; Lactobacillales; Enterococcaceae.